AUGAAAUCACGCGAAUGUUCCAGAACUCUCUUGCCGAUCCCCCACUACAAUAUCAAUGUUGACACCGAACGCGAACGGUCGUCAACGAAACGAAGCGAUCCAUCUCACUGCACGUUUUGCGAAACGUGCCCGCAGAGUCCUCAUUGAUAUCCGUCAGCACUUCAAUCGCUUCAUUGAAACACAACAGGACGCGCUCACAAUCCUUGUCAGUGAGAUGAAGAUCGCCCAGCGAUUGCACAAAGUACAAAUUGCUGUACAAGUGUUUGCAUUUGGCGCGCAGGAUCACUUCAACUAAGAGCAGCACGAUAUCCUGAUUGUUUGCAAUUGGGAUGUUACCAGGAAUUUCCGAGCAAUCACCGCCGCUUUCGGCGAUGAGUUCGACCAUUGCAAACUUCAAAUCGGCGAAAAUAAAAUCGUAGCACGCCGACAUGCAUGCCAUUUUUUCGUGGACUGUUUUAUGUGCAUCUAAACUAGCCAAUUCCACAAUGGAUGCCGGCAAUUGAACAUGAUCAAAAUUAUGAGAAAACUUCACAUUUUGUAGAGAUAAACACUUUUGGAAGAUCAACUCAUCUUCGGUCUUGAAUGCUUCGUAAAAAAUCGGCGCCACAGCAUCAUGGAAUUGAUUUAAUAUAUAACUGAAAUAGUAUACACAUUUAAAAUAUAAUUUUCCGUAUAAUCUUAUAUUUAGGACUUUGUAAAUACCAACCAUUCUAUU
Dalotia coriaria is the source of this 715-nucleotide long non-coding RNA. RefSeq lists it as uncharacterized. Lineage: Eukaryota; Metazoa; Arthropoda; Insecta; Coleoptera; Staphylinidae. The transcript has 2 exons. The record is from RefSeq and is a predicted model, not a curated record.